CGAACGGUGAAGCCCAGCUUGCUGGGUGGAUCAGUGGCGAACGGGUGAGUAACACGUGAGCAACCUGCCCUCCACUUCGGGAUAAGCCUUGGAAACGGGGUCUAAUACCGGAUAUGAGCUCGCAUCGCAUGGUGUGGGUUGGAAAGUUUUUCGGUGGGGGAUGGGCUCGCGGCCUAUCAGCUUGUUGGUGGGGUGAUGGCCUACCAAGGCGUCGACGGGUAGCCGGCCUGAGAGGGCGACCGGCCACACUGGGACUGAGACACGGCCCAGACUCCUACGGGAGGCAGCAGUGGGGAAUAUUGCACAAUGGGCGCAAGCCUGAUGCAGCGACGCCGCGUGAGGGAUGACGGCCUUCGGGUUGUAAACCUCUUUCAGCAGGGAAGAAGCGCAAGUGACGGUACCUGCAGAAGAAGCGCCGGCUAACUACGUGCCAGCAGCCGCGGUAAUACGUAGGGCGCAAGCGUUGUCCGGAAUUAUUGGGCGUAAAGAGCUCGUAGGCGGUCUGUCGCGUCUGGUGUGAAAUCCCGAGGCUCAACCUCGGGCUUGCAUCGGGUACGGGCAGACUAGAGUGCGGUAGGGGAGACUGGAAUUCCUGGUGUAGCGGUGGAAUGCGCAGAUAUCAGGAGGAACACCGAUGGCGAAGGCAGGUCUCUGGGCCGCAACUGACGCUGAGGAGCGAAAGCAUGGGGAGCGAACAGGAUUAGAUACCCUGGUAGUCCAUGCCGUAAACGUUGGGCACUAGGUGUGGGGCUCAUUCCACGAGUUCCGUGCCGCAGCUAACGCAUUAAGUGCCCCGCCUGGGGAGUACGGCCGCAAGGCUAAAACUCAAAGGAAUUGACGGGGGCCCGCACAAGCGGCGGAGCAUGCGGAUUAAUUCGAUGCAACGCGAAGAACCUUACCAAGGCUUGACAUGUACGAGAAAGCCCCCGAGACGGGGUUCUCUUUGGACACUCGUACACAGGUGGUGCAUGGUUGUCGUCAGCUCGUGUCGUGAGAUGUUGGGUUAAGUCCCGCAACGAGCGCAACCCUCGUCCUAUGUUGCCAGCGGGUUAUGCCGGGGACUCAUGGGAGACUGCCGGGGUCAACUCGGAGGAAGGUGGGGAUGACGUCAAAUCAUCAUGCCCCUUAUGUCUUGGGCUUCACGCAUGCUACAAUGGCCGGUACAGAGGGCUGCGAUACCGUAAGGUGGAGCGAAUCCCAAAAAGCCGGUCUCAGUUCGGAUUGGGGUCUGCAACUCGACCCCAUGAAGUCGGAG
RNAcentral lists this ribosomal RNA (1255 nucleotides) under uncultured bacterium. RNAcentral's name for it is "bacterial SSU rRNA". It matches the Rfam family "Bacterial small subunit ribosomal RNA", at positions 63 to 1331 of the family's 1533-position model. The record is from RNAcentral.